RNAcentral lists this ribosomal RNA (426 nucleotides) under uncultured bacterium. RNAcentral's name for it is "bacterial SSU rRNA". It matches the Rfam family "Bacterial small subunit ribosomal RNA", at positions 359 to 776 of the family's 1533-position model. The record is from RNAcentral.
GAAUUUUGGGCAAUGGGCGAAAGCCUGACCCAGCAACGCCGCGUGUGGGAUGAAGGCCCUCGGGUCGUAAACCACUGUCAGGAGGAAAGAAAAGCCGGACGGAUAAUACCCGGACGGCCUGACGGUACCUCCAAAGGAAGCACCGGCUAACUACGUGCCAGCAGCCGCGGUAAUACGGAGGGUGCAAGCGUUGUUCGGAAUUACUGGGCGUAAAGCGCGUGUAGGUGGUCGAGUAAGUCGAAUGUGAAAGCCCCGGGCUCAACCCGGGAAGUGCAUCCGAAACUGCUCGACUAGAGUCCCGGAGAGGAAGGCAGAAUUCCCAAUGUAGGGGUGAAAUCCGUAGAUAUUGGGAGGAAUACCGGUGGCGAAGGCGGCCUUCUGGACGGUGACUGACACUCAGACGCGAAAGCGUGGGGAGCAAACAGG